AGUCGAGCGAGCGGAACUAAAGAUUUACUUCGGUAAUGACGUUAGGAAAGCGAGCGGCGGAUGGGUGAGUAACACGUGGGGAACCUGCCCCAUAGUCUGGGAUACCACUUGGAAACAGGUGCUAAUACCGGAUAAGAAAGCAGAUCGCAUGAUCAGCUUUUAAAAGGCGGCGUAAGCUGUCGCUAUGGGAUGGCCCCGCGGUGCAUUAGCUAGUUGGUAAGGUAAAGGCUUACCAAGGCGAUGAUGCAUAGCCGAGUUGAGAGACUGAUCGGCCACAUUGGGACUGAGACACGGCCCAAACUCCUACGGGAGGCAGCAGUAGGGAAUCUUCCACAAUGGACGCAAGUCUGAUGGAGCAACGCCGCGUGAGUGAAGAAGGUUUUCGGAUCGUAAAGCUCUGUUGUUGGUGAAGAAGGAUAGAGGUAGUAACUGGCCUUUAUUUGACGGUAAUCAACCAGAAAGUCACGGCUAACUACGUGCCAGCAGCCGCGGUAAUACGUAGGUGGCAAGCGUUGUCCGGAUUUAUUGGGCGUAAAGCGAGCGCAGGCGGAAGAAUAAGUCUGAUGUGAAAGCCCUCGGCUUAACCGAGGAACUGCAUCGGAAACUGUUUUUCUUGAGUGCAGAAGAGGAGAGUGGAACUCCAUGUGUAGCGGUGGAAUGCGUAGAUAUAUGGAAGAACACCAGUGGCGAAGGCGGCUCUCUGGUCUGCAACUGACGCUGAGGCUCGAAAGCAUGGGUAGCGAACAGGAUUAGAUACCCUGGUAGUCCAUGCCGUANACGAUGAGUGCUAAGUGUUGGGAGGUUUCCGCCUCUCAGUGCU
This 820-nucleotide ribosomal RNA is filed under the name uncultured bacterium. Its description in RNAcentral is "bacterial SSU rRNA". It matches the Rfam family "Bacterial small subunit ribosomal RNA", at positions 60 to 847 of the family's 1533-position model. The record is from RNAcentral.